UUAAGCGACUAAGCGUACACGGUGGAUGCCCUGGCAGUCAGAGGCGAUGAAGGACGUGCUAAUCUGCGAAAAGCGCCGGCGAGGUGAUAUGAACCUUUGACCCGGCGAUGUCCGAAUGGGGAAACCCAGUGUGAUUCGUCACACUAUCGUUAACUGAAUACAUAGGUUAACGAGGCGAACCGGGGGAACUGAAACAUCUAAGUACCCCGAGGAAAAGAAAUCAACCGAGAUUCCCCCAGUAGCGGCGAGCGAACGGGGAGCAGCCCAGAGUCUGAAUCAGCUUGUGUGUUAGUGGAAGCGUCUGGAAAGUCGCACGGUACAGGGUGACAGUCCCGUACACGAAAAUGCACAGGUUGUGAACUCGAAGAGUAGGGCGGGACACGUGGUAUCCUGUCUGAAUAUGGGGGGACCAUCCUCCAAGGCUAAAUACUCCUGACUGACCGAUAGUGAACCAGUACCGUGAGGGAAAGGCGAAAAGAACCCCGGCGAGGGGAGUGAAAAAGAACCUGAAACCGUGUACGUACAAGCAGUGGGAGCACCUUCGGGUGUGACUGCGUACCUUUUGUAUAAUGGGUCAGCGACUUAUAUUCUGUAGCAAGGUUAACCGUAUAGGGGAGCCGAAGGGAAACCGAGUCUUAACUGGGCGUUAAGUUGCAGGGUAUAGACCCGAAACCCGGUGAUCUAGCCAUGGGCAGGUUGAAGGUUGGGUAACACUAACUGGAGGACCGAACCGACUAAUGUUGAAAAAUUAGCGGAUGACUUGUGGCUGGGGGUGAAAGGCCAAUCAAACCGGGAGAUAGCUGGUUCUCCCCGAAAGCUAUUUAGGUAGCGCCUCGUGAACUCAUCUUCGGGGGUAGAGCACUGUUUCGGCUAGGGGGCCAUCCCGGCUUACCAACCCGAUGCAAACUACGAAUACCGAAGAAUGUUAUCACGGGAGACACACGGCGGGUGCUAACGUCCGUCGUGAAGAGGGAAACAACCCAGACCGCCAGCUAAGGUCCCAAAGUCAUGGUUAAGUGGGAAACGAUGUGGGAAGGCACAGACAGCCAGGAUGUUGGCUUAGAAGCAGCCAUCAUUUAAAGAAAGCGUAAUAGCUCACUGGUCGAGUCGGCCUGCGCGGAAGAUGUAACGGGGCUAAACCAUGCACCGAAGCUGCGGCAGCGACACUAUGUGUUGUUGGGUAGGGGAGCGUUCUGUAAGCCGUUGAAGGUGGCCUGUGAGGGUUGCUGGAGGUAUCAGAAGUGCGAAUGCUGACAUAAGUAACGAUAAAGCGGGUGAAAAGCCCGCUCGCCGGAAGACCAAGGGUUCCUGUCCAACGUUAAUCGGGGCAGGGUGAGUCGACCCCUAAGGCGAGGCCGAAAGGCGUAGUCGAUGGGAAACAGGUUAAUAUUCCUGUACUUGGUGUUACUGCGAAGGGGGGACGGAGAAGGCUAUGUUAGCCGGGCGACGGUUGUCCCGGUUUAAGCAUGUAGGCGGAACGAUUAGGUAAAUCCGGUCGUUUAUUAACGCUGAGGUGUGAUGACGAGGCACUACGGUGCUGAAGUAACAAAUGCCCUGCUUCCAGGAAAAGCCUCUAAGCAUCAGGUAACAUUAAAUCGUACCCCAAACCGACACAGGUGGUCAGGUAGAGAAUACCAAGGCGCUUGAGAGAACUCGGGUGAAGGAACUAGGCAAAAUGGUGCCGUAACUUCGGGAGAAGGCACGCUGAUAUGUAGGUGAAGCCCCUGCGGGUGGAGCUGAAAUCAGUCGAAGAUACCAGCUGGCUGCAACUGUUUAUUAAAAACACAGCACUGUGCAAACACGAAAGUGGACGUAUACGGUGUGACGCCUGCCCGGUGCCGGAAGGUUAAUUGAUGGGGUUAGCGGCAACGCGAAGCUCUUGAUCGAAGCCCCGGUAAACGGCGGCCGUAACUAUAACGGUCCUAAGGUAGCGAAAUUCCUUGUCGGGUAAGUUCCGACCUGCACGAAUGGCGUAAUGAUGGCCAGGCUGUCUCCACCCGAGACUCAGUGAAAUUGAACUCGCUGUGAAGAUGCAGUGUACCCGCGGCAAGACGGAAAGACCCCGUGAACCUUUACUAUAGCUUGACACUGAACACUGGUCUUUGAUGUGUAGGAUAGGUGGGAGGCUUUGAAGUGUGGACGCCAGUCUGCAUGGAGCCGUCCUUGAAAUACCACCCUUUAAUGGCUGGUGUUCUAACGUAGACCCGUGAUCCGGGUUGCGGACAGUGUCUGGUGGGUAGUUUGACUGGGGCGGUCUCCUCCCAAAGAGUAACGGAGGAGCACGAAGGUUAGCUAAUCCUGGUCGGACAUCAGGAGGUUAGUGCAAUGGCAUAAGCUAGCUUGACUGCGAGAGUGACGGCUCGAGCAGGUGCGAAAGCAGGUCAUAGUGAUCCGGUGGUUCUGAAUGGAAGGGCCAUCGCUCAACGGAUAAAAGGUACUCCGGGGAUAACAGGCUGAUACCGCCCAAGAGUUCAUAUCGACGGCGGUGUUUGGCACCUCGAUGUCGGCUCAUCACAUCCUGGGGCUGAAGUAGGUCCCAAGGGUAUGGCUGUUCGCCAUUUAAAGUGGUACGCGAGCUGGGUUUAGAACGUCGUGAGACAGUUCGGUCCCUAUCUGCCGUGGGCGCUGGAGAAUUGAGGGGGGCUGCUCCUAGUACGAGAGGACCGGAGUGGACGCAUCACUGGUGUUCGGGUUGUCAUGCCAAUGGCACUGCCCGGUAGCUAAAUGCGGAAAAGAUAAGUGCUGAAAGCAUCUAAGCACGAAACUUGCCCCGAGAUGAGUUCUCCCUGAGACUUUAAGUCUCCUGAAGGAACGUUGAAGACGACGACGUUGAUAGGUCGGGUGUGUAAGCGCAGCGAUGCGUUGAGCUAACCGAUACUAAUGAACCGUGAGGCUUAACCUU
RNAcentral lists this ribosomal RNA (2902 nucleotides) under Enterobacter cloacae. RNAcentral's name for it is "bacterial LSU rRNA". It matches the Rfam family "Bacterial large subunit ribosomal RNA". Lineage: Bacteria; Pseudomonadati; Pseudomonadota; Gammaproteobacteria; Enterobacterales; Enterobacteriaceae. The record is from RNAcentral.